GCAAUUUCCAUUUCCAAUUCUUGGUAUAGGAAAGGUGUUAGUUCAUGUUACUUGUUAGAUGCAGAGACUAAUGAGAGGAGGAUAUGGUUUCCGAAUAUCAAUACUGAUGAAGUUUCUAGAAGCUUAUUUUAUAAUAAGGAUACUGAUUUACUCAUCAUUAUUUCAGUUUAUGCUUCAUAUAGUAUAAAACCAUUGGGUACUUUAGUUUUUCAUUCCGUUCUCACCGUCUCUUUCUCAUGCAUCACUUCCUUGAACUAUUUCAGUUACAUGACCAGACAUUGUUGAAGUGGCCCAGUUGUUUGGAAU
This 306-nucleotide long non-coding RNA is filed under the name Olea europaea (common olive). RNAcentral's name for it is "long non-coding RNA (OEUR_LNC004832)". Lineage: Eukaryota; Viridiplantae; Streptophyta; Magnoliopsida; Lamiales; Oleaceae. The record is from RNAcentral.